GAGGGUAUAGCUCAGUGGUAGAGUGCAUGCUUAGCAUGCACGAGAUCCUGGGUUCAAUCCCCAGUACUGCCA
Molecule: transfer RNA, 72 nt
Filed under: Camelus bactrianus (Bactrian camel)
Lineage: Eukaryota; Metazoa; Chordata; Mammalia; Artiodactyla; Camelidae
Also listed under: 2 other names
Rfam family: tRNA
About the family: Transfer RNA (tRNA) molecules are approximately 80 nucleotides in length.
Source: Rfam by way of RNAcentral